Molecule: non-coding RNA, 890 nt
Organism: Callithrix jacchus (white-tufted-ear marmoset)
Lineage: Eukaryota; Metazoa; Chordata; Mammalia; Primates; Cebidae
Source: RefSeq, a predicted model, not a curated record
GCGACCUCACCACGAAGAGGUGAAGGAGUAGGAUUUCCUUUGGAGGGUCCUGUCUGUUUAUUUCAGUUACACCAUGGUCAUUUUAUAAGUUCCAUACGAAUAUUUUAGGGUGUUUGCCAUUGAGCUCUGUUUACCGGGGAAUACUAGAGAGGUCUUGUUUUCUUGUAGGAGGUCUUUGACAGAUGAGGAGAACAUUGAAGCUGCCUAAGAAGGUCGCAGCUGGAAGGAAGGCUUGAGCUGCCAGCAGGCCAGUAGCGGAUCCUGCUGAACAAGGCAGCAGUGGACUGUGGCUAACUGAAACCAAGAGAAGUUAAAGCCCAGGGGAUGACCGCACCUGAUGAGUUACACAUUUGACCACGAGUGAAGACUCCAAUGCACUUUCUCAUGAUGAUCCUUCCUGCUGGUGGUCCCCUAGUGAAGCAAUCUGAAAUGGACCCAGAACACAGUUUGGGACAACAGACACCGUCGCUGUCUCUAUUCUCCUGUCCAGCUAAUGACAUAUGGAUCUAGAUGGCAUAUGGAUCUGACCCCUGCUGGCUGUAUGACCUCAAGACAGCAAUAUCCCCCCGUCUGCCUUUGAUUUCUCAUCUUUAAAAUGAAUCUAUAACAGUAUUUUUUCAUGUAAUGAUGGCAAUGAAAAUCCCUACAGUGAGUUACACAUUUGAACACGAGUGGAGACUCCAAUGCACCUUCUGGCGAUGAUCCUUCCUGCCGGUGCUCCUGCCAAUGUCUGGUUCUAGAAGAACCCCUUUGCUGGGGAGACAUUACUAUAGAAGCUUUUAAAAAAAUGUGCUAGGUAUAUUGGCUACUGCAGAGGUGUCAUUAGGCUCUGGGGUUUAGUGCUUUGGACAUCUGGUAGGUGUGAUGGCUGCAGUCCACCGCUGUGUUCA